RNAcentral lists this ribosomal RNA (355 nucleotides) under uncultured Bacillota bacterium. RNAcentral describes it as "bacterial SSU rRNA". It matches the Rfam family "Bacterial small subunit ribosomal RNA", at positions 1026 to 1382 of the family's 1533-position model. Lineage: Bacteria; Bacillati; Bacillota. The record is from RNAcentral.
CAAUGGAUACAGGUGGUGCAUGGUUGUCGUCAGCUCGUGCCGUGAGGUGUUGGGUUAAGUCCCGCAACGAGCGCAACCCUUAUCAUUAGUUGCUAACAUUCAGUUGAGAACUCUAAUGAGACUGCCAGUGAUAAACUGGAGGAAGGUGGGGAUGACGUCAAAUCAUCAUGCCCCUUAUGACCUGGGCUACACACGUGCUACAAUGGCCGGUACAAAGAGUUGCGAAACUGUGAAGUUAAGCUAAUCUCAUAAAGCCGGUCUCAGUUCGGAUUGUAGUCUGCAACUCGACUACAUGAAGUCGGAAUCGCUAGUAAUCGCGAAUCAGAAUGUCGCGGUGAAUACGUUCUCGAGUCUU